RNAcentral lists this ribosomal RNA (478 nucleotides) under uncultured bacterium. RNAcentral's name for it is "partial 16S ribosomal RNA". It matches the Rfam family "Bacterial small subunit ribosomal RNA", at positions 29 to 526 of the family's 1533-position model. The record is from RNAcentral.
AUUGAACGCUGGCGGCAGGCCUAACACAUGCAAGUCGAACGAGUGGCGGACGGGUGAGUAAUGUCUGGGAAACUGCCUGAUGGAGGGGGAUAACUACUGGAAACGGUAGCUAAUACCGCAUACCAUCAGAUGUGCCCAGAUGGGAUUAGCUUGUUGGUGGGGUAACGGCUCACCAAGGCGACGAUCCCUAGCUGGUCUUAGCGGAUGACAGAGGGAGUGGGGUAACGAGUCACCAAGGGGGCGGUGCCUAGCCGGUCUGAAAGAAUGAGCAGCAAAACUGGGAAUGAGUAACGGUCCAAGAUCAAUCAGGAGGCAGCGGAGGAAGGCUGAUGAAGCCAUGCCGCGUGAGUGAAGAAGGGUUUCGGAGCGUAAAGCUCUGGUGUUGGAGAAGAACGUUGGUAGGAGUGGAAAAUCUACCAAGGGACGGUAACUAAACAGAAAGGGACGGCUAACUACGUGCCAGCAGCCGCGGUAAUAC